Molecule: ribosomal RNA, 253 nt
Filed under: uncultured bacterium
Lineage: Bacteria
Description: partial 16S ribosomal RNA
Rfam family: Bacterial small subunit ribosomal RNA
Source: RNAcentral
UACGGAGGGUGCAAGCGUUGCUCGGAAUUAUUGGGCGUAAAGGGCAGGUAGGUGGUCUCAUUUGUCUGGGGUGAAAGCCUUGAGCUUAACUCAAGAAGUGCCCCAGAAACGGUGAGACUAGAGUUCUGGAGAGGGUCGUGGAAUUCCCGGUGUAGCGGUGAAAUGCGUAGAGAUCGGGAGGAACACCAGAGGCGAAAGCGGCUCUCUGGGACGGUACUGACGCUGAGACGCGAAAGCGUGGGGAGCGAACAGG